GACGAACGCUGGCGGCGUGCUUAACACAUGCAAGUCGAACGGAAAGGCCCUGCUUUUGUGGGGUGCUCGAGUGGCGAACGGGUGAGUAACACGUGAGUAACCUGCCCUUGACUUUGGGAUAACUUCAGGAAACUGGGGCUAAUACCGGAUAGGAGCUCCUGCUGCAUGGUGGGGGUUGGAAAGUUUCGGCGGUUGGGGCUGGACUCGCGGCUUAUCAGCUUGUUGGUGGGGUAGUGGCUUACCAAGGCUGUGACGGGUAGCCGGCCUGGGAGGGUGACCGGCCACAUUGGGACUGCGGUACGGCCCAGACUCCUACGGGAGGCAGCAGUGGGGAAUAUUGCACAGUGGGCGGAAGCCUGAUGCAGCAACGCCGCGUGCGGGAUGACGGCCUUCGGGUUGUAAACCGCUUUCGCCUGUGACGAAGCGUGAGUGACGGUAAUGGGUAAAGAAGCACCGGCUAACUACGUG
RNAcentral lists this ribosomal RNA (468 nucleotides) under uncultured bacterium. RNAcentral describes it as "partial 16S ribosomal RNA". It matches the Rfam family "Bacterial small subunit ribosomal RNA", at positions 28 to 507 of the family's 1533-position model. The record is from RNAcentral.